Molecule: long non-coding RNA, 990 nt
Organism: Grus americana (Whooping crane)
Lineage: Eukaryota; Metazoa; Chordata; Aves; Gruiformes; Gruidae
Exons: 4
Source: RefSeq, a predicted model, not a curated record
UCUCUUAUGGGGUUGCCAUAGAGCUUCCUCACCCGGGCGUCGUGCCCUAUAGGUCACCUUGUUCGGCAGCCUCUCUGGUCUGGGAGUCAUUCCUCUCGCUGAGAGUGUUCUCUCAUUUGUGAGUGAGUCGCGUUGUUUGUAGCGUUCUGUAUAGCGUCCGUCUCUGUGUGUGGUGUGUGUGUGGAGCUGUUCUGCCCAGGGCUGUGGAGUCGGGGAUAGGCGGAAUAGCAAUAAGAGCGUACGGUUAGCGUGCCGAUACGGCCCAUACGGAAUUGUUUGGCUCUCACUCGGCAUCUGGGUGACUUGUUUGAUAACUCGGUGUGAUUUUUCCAGAUGCGGACUGGCUAGAUGCCCACCGAAGAGCGGCAGAGGAGGAGAGCAGAGCGCUGUAAGAAGGCACGAAUCGAUGCGCGAACGGGAUAUCCGCACCGGAGCGAACUUAAGCGAGGCGAGCGAUGACAGGUGGCGGUCAGGCCUCGGCACGGCAGGCCGAAGAAUCCGACUCCGAGCGGCCGAGGAAAAGGGACGGGCGAGAGGAAGGCGUUUCCAAGGAGGGCUUCGUCGCAGCGGAGGUCGACGCCGGGCGGCACGUCGGUGACCGGCGACGCUCUGUCUCGUGAGGGAUGAAGCGGAACCCGGCGGAUGGGGGAGCGUCCCGGUUAGAUGACCUUUUCCCCAUGAGAAGGGAAUCUGGAUUCUGCCCUCUGAAAGGUCUCUAGGUUCCGCCGCAGGCGCUCGGCGAGCAUCCGCGGGGUCCGUGACGCCUCGUCGCUUCGGAAUAUGGCCCAUCGAGCGUUUCUCGUCUCGCGAUCGGAGCUUAAAGCGCGCCUCGCAUCGCAGAUGUUUCUGCGAGGUGGCCUUUGUGGAGGUGGUCUGUGCCGGACUCACAGUCGUGCUCUAGAAACUUCCGCCUCAAUUGAAGUUUGAUACCAUCUUUCAUCUCUAUAUGCUGUGGGAUGCUGGACUAGUCCAGGCUUGUUGGUGCCGAAA